UGCGCGCCCGCGGAGGCUGCGCGGGGCCGGACCCCCCCACCCACCCUCGAAGCGGCCCCGGCCCGCAGGAAGGGGUCACGCGUGGGCACUGCCCGCGGGCGCGUUGCGAGGAGGGCAGCCCCUGAAGUGCCGUGUUCCCUCUCCGUGGCCGUGGUUUAUUUUUGGAGGGAGGUGCGCUGUUUGUUCGGCCGCCCCCCGCGUGGAAGUGCGCCCGGACUCCCAACCCACGCGGCUCCGGCGGCUGCUGCUCGGAACGCCGGCGAAGCCCUCGCUGCGAAAGCGAGAAAAAGUCCGAGCGCAGCCCGAGCGCGAUUUGCAUAAUUGUCGGGAGUUUGAAUUACUGAUUACAACUUGUAAGCUACCGACGGUUAAGGUAUAAUUUGCUUAAUUAUCCGACAAGGUUAUUGCAGCCGGGCUCAAUCCCUCCUAGGUAAAACAGCGCUGAUGGAGCGUCCCCGAUGCGCGGCGGUGCGGGCGGUGCCGCGGCUUUCACGCAGCCCUCACCGAGCGCGCUUCCACCCGACGGCACAGAGCGCUGCCCCCACAGCCACCCCAUCCCUGCGGCGCUGCGCCUCGGACAAAAUGAACAUCGUGCUCAAAAGCAGCGACAUCUCGCAGUGUCGGAAGGUCCGGAUCACCGCUCGUUUACACGAGAGCGGCGGCUGCGGGUUUGCUGCGCUCGGGACAAAGCCGAGCCCGGGCAGCGCGCAGCUCUCGGACCCGCAGCUGCUCCGAAAGGCCGCGGGCGGAACCACGCCGGGAUCGCGACCUGACCGAACCUCCGCCACUUUUUUUUCCUGAAGAUCGGGGAAGAAAAAACAACCAACCAACCAAACGCCACCAAAAACAAUUAAAACCGAACACCCUCAGCGCCUCUUUCCGAUUAAAUGAACGAUCCAAAAAUGAAUCCGAGGCGGCCGGGGCUGCUGCAGGUUGGCGGUGUUAUCAGCCCGACCCGGCACGCGGGUGCUGAUGUGCAGCGUCGCGCUGAGCCCGGCAGCAGCGGGGACUCCGCAUUAUCAUUUUUGGUGGAGUCUCCAUUUAUUUUUUUUAACGACGUUGUUUUUCUUCCAGGGAUGUUUCUUUGAAAUGCAGUUCGCGACGAUUAUUAGCGAGUGUGCUCGCGCGGCUCCUGGCGUCAUUAAGACUAGGAAUCUAAAUAAUAAAAGACAGGGGGAGCUUAAAGUUCAUUUGUAUUAAAGGGACAAGAUGGAUUUAAAGAGAAACGAGGAGGGGAACCGUCGAGCUCCCCAGGUUUGGGAAGAUCGCCCUCCUUCCUCCCGAAGGCAUCCCGCGGUGCGGCAACGUGGGCGUUUUUACCACAGUUUACCUUCUGCUCACAAACGUCACACUGAGGGGCGAUGCAGUUUUUCUCUUUUUUUGGUGUUUUCAAGACCUGAACACCUUCAUUUUGUUUACUUCGGUGGACGAAAGAACGCAGACGAAUUGAGCUCACUAUUUGAUUACAUAUACGUGUAUAUAUGUAAUAUAGAUAAGUAGAGACGUGAAAGAGGGAUUUAGAAGAAAUUACCAAAACAAAAGGACGCCUUGGCUUCCUAGAAAUCCAACCAAGAAAGCAGAGGAGGCUGAGCACGGGGUGUGGAGCGCAGCCCUCGCGGCCGCCCCUCCCGCAGGGAUCCCCGGACCCCCCUCCCCGUGGCGCUGCCGAGCCCGGCCCCGGUGCUGCUAUCGAGGGCUGCUCGGGGCACCUCGGGCCUCUUCCGAGGGUUUGGGGGGAGGGGAACGCCGUGAAGAGUGGUUUUCCGCAGCCCCCCCCCCCCACGUUCACACCUAACCCGGAGAGAAGCGGGCUGGGCGGGGGGCGAUGGAGCAGCUGGGAGGUGAGGUGGCUCCUGGCAGGUGGCAGCUUUCCUGACUUAUUAAAAG
Molecule: long non-coding RNA, 1887 nt
Organism: Gallus gallus (chicken)
Lineage: Eukaryota; Metazoa; Chordata; Aves; Galliformes; Phasianidae
Source: Ensembl